RNAcentral lists this ribosomal RNA (305 nucleotides) under uncultured bacterium. Its description in RNAcentral is "bacterial SSU rRNA". It matches the Rfam family "Bacterial small subunit ribosomal RNA", at positions 335 to 656 of the family's 1533-position model. The record is from RNAcentral.
AUGCCUACGGGGGGUAGCAGUGGGGAAUAUUGCACAAUGGGGGAAACCCUGAUGCAGCGACGCCGCGUGAGUGAAGAAGUAUUUCGGUAUGUAAAGCUCUAUCAGCAGGGAAGAAAAAAGACGGUACCUGACUAAGAAGCCCCGGCUAACUACGUGCCAGCAGCCGCGGUAAUCCGUAGGGGGCAAGCGUUAUCCGGAUUUACUGGGUGUAAAGGGAGCGUAGACGGCGCGGCAAGUCUGAAGUGAAAGGCAGGGGCUCAACACCGGGACUGCAUUGAAAACUGUCGUGCUGGAGUGUCGGAGGG